This 253-nucleotide ribosomal RNA is filed under the name uncultured bacterium. Its description in RNAcentral is "partial 16S ribosomal RNA". It matches the Rfam family "Bacterial small subunit ribosomal RNA", at positions 524 to 776 of the family's 1533-position model. The record is from RNAcentral.
UACGUAGGGUGCGAGCGUUGUCCGGAAUUACUGGGCGUAAAGAGCUCGUAGGGGGUUUGUCGCGUUGUUCGUGAAAACUCACAGCUUAACUGUGGGCGUGCGGGCGAUACGGGCAGACUGGAGUACUGCAGGGGAGACUGGAAUUCCUGGUGUAGCGGUGAAAUGCGCAGAUAUCAGGAGGAACACCGGUGGCGAAGGCGGGUCUCUGGGCCGAUACUGACGCUGAGGAGCGAAAGCGUGGGGAGCAAACAGG